Molecule: ribosomal RNA, 419 nt
Filed under: Neodidymelliopsis sp.
Lineage: Eukaryota; Fungi; Ascomycota; Dothideomycetes; Pleosporales; Didymellaceae
Description: LSU rRNA
Rfam family: Eukaryotic large subunit ribosomal RNA
Source: RNAcentral
GACCUCGGAUCAGGUAGGGAUACCCGCUGAACUUAAGCAUAUCAAUAAGCGGAGGAAAAGAAACCAACAGGGAUUGCCCUAGUAACGGCGAGUGAAGCGGCAACAGCUCAAAUUUGAAAUCUGGCGUCUUUGGCGUCCGAGUUGUAAUUUGCAGAGGGCGCUUUGGCAUCGGCAGCGGUCCAAGUUCCUUGGAACAGGACGUCACAGAGGGUGAGAAUCCCGUACGUGAUCGCUAGCCUUUACCGUGUAAAGCCCCUUCGACGAGUCGAGUUGUUUGGGAAUGCAGCUCUAAAUGGGAGGUAAAUUUCUUCUAAAGCUAAAUACUGGCCAGAGACCGAUAGCGCACAAGUAGAGUGAUCGAAAGAUGAAAAGCACUUUGGAAAGAGAGUUAAAAAGCACGUGAAAUUGUUGAAAGGGAA